UACGUAGGGGGCAAGCGUUGUCCGGAUUUAUUGGGCGUAAAGAGCGCGUAGGCGGUCCGAUAAGUCGGCUGUGAAAGUCAAGGGCUCAACCCUUGGAAGCCGGUCGAUACUGUCGGACUAGAGUCCGGAAGAGGCGAGUGGAAUUCCCGGUGUAGCGGUGAAAUGCGCAGAUAUCAGGAGGAACACCGGUGGCGAAGGCGGUUCUCUGGGCAUGUCCUGACGCUGAGGAGCGAAAGUGUGGGGAGCGAACAGG
Molecule: ribosomal RNA, 253 nt
Filed under: uncultured bacterium
Lineage: Bacteria
Description: partial 16S ribosomal RNA
Rfam family: Bacterial small subunit ribosomal RNA
Source: RNAcentral